CUCUUCUAACAUUUAUCAUUUUUCUUUUUUCUCUUAUUAGCCAAUAUGAUAGGGAUGAGGUGGUAACUCAUAAUGAAAAUGGGUGAGUUGUUUUGACUUGUAUAUUCACUUUUUAAUUAUAUAUUUUUUCUAUUACUGCUGUGUUAUUUAUUCUGAGACUUCUCUCUAACCACUCUUUCCCAGAAACAGUUGGAGAAGAAGACCCGAGAGCCACAACAAGGACAAGGCAAUUGAAGCUUUUUCGACAGGAGGAAAAAAAUAAUACAAAUGCAGAUUAAGAUCAGUUUUCUCAAGGCUUGAAGCAAUAAUUCUUGAGGCAGAUCUCUAUACAGCUGGAGGAAGAGAAGAAAAAAGAAAGGUUCUACAACUUCUGGAAGAAAUGCUAGCCUUGUUUGGUUCUGAUCUGAAAUAUCUGGUCUGCUACUACCUACAUAUCCUGAACUCUGCUAUCUUUCUAGGACCUCAAGGCUAACUCAGGUCAGUGAUCUGCAAACUCUCAGAUUCCAAGAGUGUACUCUACUGCAUUACUCUUGCAUUGAGUUUUGUUCAUUCCUUAUCCUGGCCACCUGUUUGAAGAUGAGAGUUGAUAAUUAAAUUAUCAGUAUAAAUGAGCUUGCCAGGGAAGAAAUUCCAGAAAAAGAAAAAGGUCCAAAUAUUAAAUUUGGGUUGAAAAAAAAAGAGCAUUCACCUGUAGGCAUCAGAAGGAGUAAGAGUCAGAGGAGCAGACCAAAAUAGAACUGCAAAAAGAAAAAUAUAAAGGAAUCAUGUGAAGUCAAUAGGUGAGAAAAUACUAUAUAAAAGUGAAGAAAGAUGAGGACUUUUAAAAGGCCCCUUAGACUGAGACAUUUUUCAAUUCAUUGGUGACCUUUAAGUACAGUUUCAGUAAAGUAGAAACACAUGAAAGUGUGUUUAGUUUAAACCAUCUCUUAUAUUAUUUUUAUCACUAGAAAUUAAAGAUAUUUUCAGUAGAAUUUAUUAAGCAUAGGAUAUGAUUGUGGUAUAAAGAAUGAUGAACAGGAUGAUUUCAGAAAGAGCUGUAAAGACCUACAUAAACUGGUGGAGAAUUAAAUCAACAAAAGAAGGAUAACAGUGUACAGAGUAACAGCAAUAUUGUGGAAUGAUCAAGUGUGAUAGACUUAACUAUUGUCUGCAAUAUGAUGAUCUAGAACAAAUCUGAGGGACAUAUGAAAAGAAUACUAUCCAUCUUCUGAAAAAGAAUUGUUGGUGAAAGAAUGCAGAUGAAAGCAAAUGAUUUAUCACUUGUUAAUUUGGGUAUAUGUUUGGGGAUUUGGGUUUUAUAAGCUAU
This is a long non-coding RNA of Monodelphis domestica (gray short-tailed opossum), 1306 nucleotides long. The record is from Ensembl. NCBI's taxonomy places the organism in Eukaryota, Metazoa, Chordata, Mammalia, Didelphimorphia, Didelphidae.